RNAcentral lists this unclassified non-coding RNA (319 nucleotides) under Hevea brasiliensis (rubber tree). Lineage: Eukaryota; Viridiplantae; Streptophyta; Magnoliopsida; Malpighiales; Euphorbiaceae. The record is from RNAcentral.
GUUCUUAAUCAUGCGCGUAACCCCGAGAGAGAUGAGAAUAAUCCUGUGACGCGCUUUACAGAGCGUGUUGUAUUCUCAUAAAUUACUGGCGAAGGAAACGCAGAUGGUAGUUAGAACCAUCGUUGCGUCUCUCAUUUUCUCCUAGUUUUCUUAUUUCAAUCCAAUAAGCAAUCAAGGGAAUCAAAAUGGCAUCACGAGACAAGAAACCGGCCAAACCAUCCAGCAGUCGUGCGGCCGGGAUACGCACUCUCUCCGAUCUGAAUCGACACUCGGGCCCCGAUUCCGACAGUGACGAUGAUGCUCCUCAAGAGUACUACAC